GGAGACGUGGCCGAGUGGUCGAAGGCGCUCGCCUGCUAAGUGAGUAUAGGGGGAACCCUAUCGAGGGUUCGAAUCCCUUCGUCUCCGCCA
RNAcentral lists this transfer RNA (90 nucleotides) under Paracoccaceae bacterium. RNAcentral's name for it is "Rhodobacteraceae bacterium (hydrothermal vent metagenome) tRNA-Ser". It matches the Rfam family "tRNA". Rfam says of the family: Transfer RNA (tRNA) molecules are approximately 80 nucleotides in length. Their secondary structure includes four short double-helical elements and three loops (D, anti-codon, and T loops). Further hydrogen bonds mediate the characteristic L-shaped molecular structure. tRNAs have two regions of fundamental functional importance: the anti-codon, which is responsible for specific mRNA codon recognition, and the 3' end, to which the tRNAs corresponding amino acid is attached (by aminoacyl-tRNA synthetases). tRNAs cope with the degeneracy of the genetic code in two manners: having more than one tRNA (with a specific anti-codon) for a particular amino acid; and 'wobble' base-pairing, i.e. permitting non-standard base-pairing at the 3rd anti-codon position. Lineage: Bacteria; Pseudomonadati; Pseudomonadota; Alphaproteobacteria; Rhodobacterales; Paracoccaceae. The record is from RNAcentral.